RNAcentral lists this small nuclear RNA (152 nucleotides) under Stegodyphus mimosarum. Its description in RNAcentral is "U2 spliceosomal RNA". It matches the Rfam family "U2 spliceosomal RNA". From Rfam's summary of the family: U2 is a small nuclear RNA (snRNA) component of the spliceosome (involved in pre-mRNA splicing). Complementary binding between U2 snRNA (in an area lying towards the 5' end but 3' to hairpin I) and the branchpoint sequence (BPS) of the intron results the bulging out of an unpaired adenosine, on the BPS, which initiates a nucleophilic attack at the intronic 5' splice site, thus starting the first of two transesterification reactions that mediate splicing. Lineage: Eukaryota; Metazoa; Arthropoda; Arachnida; Araneae; Eresidae. The record is from RNAcentral.
ACAUUUGAUAAUAAAAAAUUUUCCGUUCUUAUCAGCUGAAUAUCUGAUACGACAUCCAUCGGGUGUCAAGAUAUUAAACUAAUUUUUGCAGAUAGGCUUGUGGUUAGGAAUUUGUUCCGCCCUCGCCAGGAGUUCUCCUGGAUUCUGCGACU